GAUGAACGCUAGCUACAGGCUUAACACAUGCAAGUCGAGGGGAAACGGCAUUUAGUGCUUGCACCGAAUGGACGUCGACCGGCGCACGGGUGAGUAACGCGUAUCCAACCUACCCAUUACUGUGGGAUAACCUGCCGAAAGGCAGACUAAUACCGCAUAGUCUUCGAUGACGGCAUCAGAUUUGAAGUAAAGAUUUAUCGGUAAUGGAUGGGGAUGCUCCUGAUUAGCUUGGGGGGGGGGUACGCCCCCCCCACGGCUAGAUUAUAAGGGGUCCUAACAUGAAGGUCCCCCCUUUUGUUUUGGAACACAGGGCCCAAU
RNAcentral lists this ribosomal RNA (318 nucleotides) under uncultured Capnocytophaga sp. Its description in RNAcentral is "partial 16S ribosomal RNA". It matches the Rfam family "Bacterial small subunit ribosomal RNA", at positions 28 to 335 of the family's 1533-position model. The record is from RNAcentral. Lineage: Bacteria; Pseudomonadati; Bacteroidota; Flavobacteriia; Flavobacteriales; Flavobacteriaceae.